This 468-nucleotide ribosomal RNA is filed under the name uncultured bacterium. Its description in RNAcentral is "partial 16S ribosomal RNA". It matches the Rfam family "Bacterial small subunit ribosomal RNA", at positions 28 to 507 of the family's 1533-position model. The record is from RNAcentral.
GACGAACGCUGGCGGCGUGCUUAACACAUGCAAGUCGAACGGAAAGGCCCUGCUUUUGUGGGGUGCUCGAGUGGCGAACGGGUGAGUAACACGUGAGUAACCUGCCCUUGACUUUGGGAUAACUUCAGGAAACUGGGGCUAAUACCGGAUAGGAGCUCCUGCUGCAUGGUGGGGGUUGGAAAGUUUCGGCGGUUGGGGAUGGACGCGCGGCUUAUCAGCUUGUUGGUGGGGUAGUGGCUUACCAAGGCUUUGACGGGUAGCCGGCCUGAGAGGGUGACCGGCCACAUUGGGACUGAGAUACGGCCCAGACUCGUACGGGAGGCAGCAGUGGGGAAUAUUGCACAAUGGGCGGAAGCCUGAUGCAGCAACGCCGCGUGCGGGAUGACGGCCUUCGGGCUGUAAACCGCUUUCGCCUGUGACGAAGCGUGAGUGACGGUAAUGGGUAAAGAAGCACCGGCUAACUACGUG